Non-coding RNA from Musa acuminata subsp. malaccensis (wild Malaysian banana), 177 nucleotides. NCBI's taxonomy places the organism in Eukaryota, Viridiplantae, Streptophyta, Magnoliopsida, Zingiberales, Musaceae. The record is from RefSeq and is a predicted model, not a curated record.
CGGGAGCUUCAGCGGUAGCAUCGCCACAAUGCUGUUCCGGCCGGCAUGGUGUUGGAAGACCGCAUUGUUUCUUUUGCGUUCUGAAGUGAAACAAGGACUCAGGGGAAGGAUAGAGACCGAUGCAAGGCAAUGCUUAGUAGAAGAGCAUAGCAAAAGAAGUAGAGCAAAUUACAAAGG